GAUGAACGCUAGCUACAGGCUUAACACAUGCAAGUCGAACGGUAACAGCGAGGAAAGCUUGCUUUUUUCGGCUGACGAGUGGCGAACGGGUGAGUAAUACAUCGGAACGUGUCCGCUCGUGGGGGACAACCAUCCGAAAGGAUGGCUAAUACCGCAUGAGUUCUACGGAAGAAAGAGGGGGACCUGCUUGCAGGCCUCUCGCGAGCGGAGCGGCCGAUGACUGAUUAGCCGGUUGGUGAGGUAACGGCUCACCAAAGCAACGAUCAGUAGCUGGUCUGAGAGGACGACCAGCCACACUGGGACUGAGACACGGCCCAG
Molecule: ribosomal RNA, 318 nt
Filed under: uncultured bacterium
Lineage: Bacteria
Description: bacterial SSU rRNA
Rfam family: Bacterial small subunit ribosomal RNA
Source: RNAcentral